RNAcentral lists this unclassified non-coding RNA (298 nucleotides) under uncultured bacterium. RNAcentral's name for it is "partial contains 16S ribosomal RNA and 16S-23S ribosomal RNA intergenic spacer region". It matches the Rfam family "Bacterial small subunit ribosomal RNA", at positions 68 to 358 of the family's 1533-position model. The record is from RNAcentral.
AUCGAUGGGAGCUUGCUCCCUGAGAUUAGCGCCGGACGGGUGAGUAACACGUGGGUAACCUGCCUGUAAGACUGGGAUAACUUCGGGAAACCGGAGCUAAUACCGGAUAAUUCUUUUCUACACAUGUAGAAAAGCUAAAAGACGGUUUACGCUGUCACUUAUAGAUGGGCCCGCGGCGCAUUAGCUAGUUGGUGAGGUAAUGGCUCACCAAGGCCACGAUGCGUAGCCGACCUGAGAGGGUGAUCGGCCACACUGGGACUGAGACACGGCCCAGACUCCUACGGGAGGCAGCAGUGGG